AAUCAUUUACAAUAUUAAUAUUACAGUUUUUAUUAUAAAAUGUUUAUUUUUCAUUACAACUUACUGAAGAAAAUUAUGCUAGUGAUGUUGCUACUGGGUAUCUUUUUGCAUAUAGUUUAUUAACGGUAACAAAAAUGAAAUGAUACUGGGAUUGCAAUACUUUAAUAACGAUAACAACAAUCAAAUGAUACUGAAAAUGCAUUUAGUUGGUAAAUAUAACAACGAUUUAAUGUUACAGGAAAUGCAAAUAGCUUGGUAAAUAUAACAACGAGUUAAUGUUACUGGAAAUGCAAAUAGAUUGGUAAUGAUACCAGCAAUCCAGUUGUUGUUAUUUAAAAUGCAUAUAGCUUGGUAAUGAUACCAGCAAUCCAGUUGUUGUUAUUUAAAAUGCAUAUAGCUUGGUAAUGAUACCAGCAAUCCAGUUGUUGUUAUUAGAAAUGCAUAUAGCUUGGUGAAGUUAUGUAAUACCGGAUAGAUGGUUCUCAAAUCUAUACUGGCAAUUGUCGUCACUAAUACAUUGAAUUUGUCUAUGAUAACGUAUAAUGUCUCAAGUUUUACGCCUAAAUCUCUAACAUACUUAACGAAAACGCAAAGUAAACAAACAACAUUUUCAUGUUUAAUGAAUAAAGUGUAACAAAGAUGAAUGAAGUUAUAACGCACAUCUAAAGAUACUGUAAUAUUUAUAAAACAAACAUUUUUUAAAUACAUUUUAAACAUUGUCUUUGUAUUUUUUAUAUCUUUUUA
This is a long non-coding RNA of Hydra vulgaris (swiftwater hydra), 744 nucleotides long. RefSeq lists it as uncharacterized. NCBI's taxonomy places the organism in Eukaryota, Metazoa, Cnidaria, Hydrozoa, Anthoathecata, Hydridae. The record is from RefSeq and is a predicted model, not a curated record.